Molecule: ribosomal RNA, 253 nt
Filed under: uncultured bacterium
Lineage: Bacteria
Description: partial 16S ribosomal RNA
Rfam family: Bacterial small subunit ribosomal RNA
Source: RNAcentral
UACGGAGGGUGCAAGCGUUAUCCGGAUUCACUGGGUUUAAAGGGUGCGUAGGAGGGCGGAUAAGUCAGUGGUGAAAUCUUCGAGCUUAACUCGGAAACUGCCGUUGAUACUAUUUGUCUUGAAUAUCGUGGAGGUGAGCGGAAUAUGUAAUGUAGCGGUGAAAUGCUUAGAUAUGACAUAGAACACCAAUUGCGAAGGCAGCUCGCUACACGAAUAUUGACUCUGAGGCACGAAAGCGUGGGGAUCAAACAGG